AUGCUCAUAGUAACGAAUAAGGCAAUAAUGCUGGCUGUGCUUGUGCUGUUAAAGGAGGGGUCCUCCGUGGCUAUGUUGAGGCAUAGAGUAAUAAAUAAAGACAGUAGUUGCCAAUUUCAUUUCAGUGGUAACAUGAACAUACUGAGCAGUAGCCAUUGCAUUCAGACCUGGCUUCUUGGCCACUUGAAUAGAGGAAACAGAUGUAUAUACACAGGUAGACUGACCGACCAAUCGAUCACGCAAGGCGGUCUUGGCGGUGCGGACCACCAUGUGGCGUCGAGAUCGAUGAUCGAUCAUCGCCUCUUAGCGGUCACGGCCGACGAGGGAGAGGAGGAAGGUCCGGUAGUUCCCGGAGGUCUCGGAGUGGAUGGCGUCGGCCAGCGAGCGCUUGUACUUCUUGUGGUACUCGGCCUUGAUGUACUGCAUGUCCACCUCCGCCCUGGUGACCACCACCCGUAUCAGCGUCGUGUCGCUGGUGCCCAGCCCCUUCAUCGCCUUGUGCAGCGCCUUGGCGAAGUACCUCGCCGGGCUCUCGGCGCACCGGAGGAUCGUCAGCAGCCCGAACUCGAAGGUCCCCGACGUCUCGCUCUUCACGGCCUUCUCCAGGGAGCGCGCGUACAGGUGGUGGUAGGCGCCGGCGACGGCGGCGAGGUGCGCCCAGCUGCGCUCGGUGAAGACGCGGAUGAAGGCGCGCUCGUCGGUGCCGAGCCGCUUCUCGCCGGCGCGGUACAGCUCCCUCGCGUCGCGCGCCGCCGCCGCCGGGUCCACCUCCGGGCCCUCGUACCGCGGGAUCCCCAAGUACGCCAGCAGAAGCUGCAUCCAGCGACGAGCAACACACAAAAUGAUGAAAGGUUCAAACACUGCACAGAUGAGCGUAUGUAUCGAUGGUGCUGUGGAGGCAAACAAAGACGUACCUUGUGGUGGUCGCCGUAG
This 933-nucleotide ribosomal RNA is filed under the name Triticum aestivum (bread wheat). RNAcentral's name for it is "partial small subunit ribosomal RNA". The record is from RNAcentral. Lineage: Eukaryota; Viridiplantae; Streptophyta; Magnoliopsida; Poales; Poaceae.